AACGAACGCUGGCGGCAUGCCUAACACAUGCAAGUCGAACGAGACCUUCGGGUCUAGUGGCGCACGGGUGCGUAACGCGUGGGAACCUGCCCUUAGGUUCGGAAUAACUCCCCGAAAGGGGUGCUAAUACCGGAUAAUGUCUUCGGACCAAAGAUUUAUCGCCUUUGGAUGGGCCCGCGUUGGAUUAGCUAGUUGGUAGGGUAAAAGCCUACCAAGGCGACGUUCCAUAGCUGGUCUGAGAGGAUGACCAGCCACACUGGGACUGAGACACGGCCCAGACUCCCACGCGAGGCAGCAGUGGGGAAUAUUGGACAAUGGGCGAAAGCCUGAUCCAGCAAUGCCGCGUGAGUGAUGAAGGCCUUAGGGUUGUAAAGCUCUUUUACCCGGGAUGAUAAUGACAGUACCGGGAGAAUAAGCGCCGGCUAACUCCGUG
Molecule: ribosomal RNA, 433 nt
Filed under: uncultured bacterium
Lineage: Bacteria
Description: partial 16S ribosomal RNA
Rfam family: Bacterial small subunit ribosomal RNA
Source: RNAcentral